UGACUGAGCGGUCGGACGGGUGAGUAACGCGUGGGUAACCUACCUCAUACAGGGGGAUAACAGUUAGAAAUGACUGCUAAUACCGCAUAAGCGCACAGUGCUGCAUGGCACAGUGUGAAAAACUCCGGUGGUAUGAGAUGGACCCGCGUUGGAUUAGGCAGUUGGCGGGGUAACGGCCCACCAAACCGACGAUCCAUAGCCGGCCUGAGAGGGUGAACGGCCACAUUGGGACUGAGACACGGCCCAAACUCCUACGGGAGGCAGCAGUGGGGAAUAUUGCACAAUGGGGGAAACCCUGAUGCAGCGACGCCGCGUGAGUGAAGAAGUAAUUCGUUAUGUAAAGCUCUAUCAGCAGGGAAGAAAAUGACGGUACCUGACUAAGAAGCCCCGGCUAACUACGUGCCAGCAGCCGCGGUAAUACGUAGGGGGCAAGCGUUAUCCGGAUUUACUGGGUGUAAAGGGAGCGUAGACGGCCGUGCAAGUCUGAUGUGAAAGGCUGGGGCUCAACCCCGGGACUGCAUUGGAAACUGUAUGGCUGGAGUGCCGGAGAGGUAAGCGGAAUUCCUAGUGUAGCGGUGAAAUGCGUAGAUAUUAGGAGGAACACCAGUGGCGAAGGCGGCUUACUGGACGGUAACUGACGUUGAGGCUCGAAAGCGUGGGGAGCAAACAGGAUUAGAUACCCUGGUAGUCCACGCCGUAAACGAUGAUUACUAGGUGUUGGGGGACAUGGUCCUUCGGUGCCGCCGCAAACGCAGUAAGUAAUCCACCUGGGGAGUACGUUCGCAAGAAUGAACUCAAAAGGAUUUGACGGGGACCCC
RNAcentral lists this ribosomal RNA (818 nucleotides) under uncultured bacterium. RNAcentral describes it as "bacterial SSU rRNA". It matches the Rfam family "Bacterial small subunit ribosomal RNA", at positions 87 to 923 of the family's 1533-position model. The record is from RNAcentral.